CAUGUUCUUCAAUCCAAGUGGCAAGAAGUGCUCGUCCAAAUUCAUUGGCCGCGCCUUCAUCGAAGCUGUUCUGGAUGAGUCUAAGCCGUACCCUGAUUUGUACAACUUUUUCCAUCAACAAUGGCCGGAGAUACCUAAAGACUUUCAGCACCUGCUGCCGGACAGCGUACAACAUGGUGCAACAUUGUUCAGUGAAGCAUGCACGCACUUGUCUCGUUAUUUUAUCAACACCACUUUGGAAAAGAUAAGCAUUGAUAUUUUCUUUCUUUAUUCAUUUUUGUAUUAUGAUUUCUGUACAGGUUGUUUCUGGCCAAGAUAUACGAUUUGCCAUGCGUGACACAGCUGUCGAAAUCCAGCUGUUUGGUUGGCAAAUGAUUUACUCCCGUCAUACAACGUUGGAAAAGAGCAAUGCCCUGCGUAACAAGAUCCAGAAGCAAAUUGGCUGCCACUACAUUCUAAAUUUGGUCACAGAUAUUAGUUCUGAGCCUUCAACAUUGAAUCAAGUGGAUACUAACUACAUUGCUGCCAUGGAUCAUGAUCUCAUGGAUAACGACAACGACUUUGACGACUACGGAUAUAAUUUCGAUGAAUUCUACAAUCCUUAUUCACCGCCUGGUAGUCCAUUCAACUGGUCGCAAGUCUACACACCACCUCAAUCGCCAGCCACACAAUCCGAUGAAGCGCUUGAACGUAUGGAGGUUUGUGUGGAAGACGUUUUGGAUGCAGGCGAAAAUAUUCAGUCAGGUGGUGCGGAAUCGAUGGACGUCGAUACGCAGGAUAACGACGACGAUAUGGAAGAAGCUAUCGUGGCAAAUCAUGUUCCGUCCCAGGAAUCACUCAGUCGACCCGUUCAGGAAGAUCCUUCUGUUGACGUUACUGAAUCAGGUCAAUCCAUACCUUCGGAAUCGGACUGGUCUAAAGUUUUUACCCUCCAGAAGAUAAGUCACAACCACAACAAGAAGUUCAAUCACCAUCAGUAUUUCUACAGUUUGAAGAUCAAGUCACUGCCGCAAGAAUUUGAUACAGUAACUUCCCCAGAAGCGCUGCCUGAAGUGUUUAAGGCAGUCUGGAAAGCUUGCUCAAAAGAUUUGCUGCCGGACGAUGCUGUUUGCUUAACAUUGUUUACCCGGACUAUGGAGAAUCCAAUGCACCUGAAAAUGCAAUUCUUCAGCAACUUUAACCCGCGCGACCUGACAGAGAUGGUAAUGAAGAUCAACUCGGGUGGACUUUUCUGCAUUGAUGAUUCUCUGAGGCUUGUUAUUCAACGUACGGUCAUCCCCGCCGGAGGUGCUGCUGUGCGUAAGCAUAUUCACUCGACACACGAUAGGAAACGGUUUGCGCGCUCCAUUGUGCAGGUUGAUGUCGGCUAUAAUUUGUGUUUGCCUGCAUGCCUUGUGCUCGGACGGUUUUUUCACGAUCCUUCAAAAAAUAUACGAAACUGGAAGCAACUGACUGAUAAAAGAGAUAAGAAACUGCAAGAACUCGCAGCGGAACUAGUGGAAGAAGCGGGACUUACUGUCGGAACAAAGUUUUCCUUAAACGACAUUGAACGUUUCCAAACAACUGUCCUUAAGGGGUUCCAGAUCAAAGUUGUUGGAGCCGAGCAGGGGAACAUCAUAAUUGCCAGGUGUCCCGAAAGGCAAGGGAAGCUGAAAACCAUCUAUCUUCUGUACGAAAAUGGCCAUUUCGAUCUGAUAACCAGUCCAUCCAGGUUUCAUCGACGUGGGUAUUAUUGUGAGUUGUGUGACAAGGCAUAUGUUCAGAAAGAAAAGCAUCGAUGCCAAGGUAAAUGCACCAAAUGUUAUCGCCCAAGAGAGGUAUGCGUCGAGCCUGAAGAAACUAGCAGAAUCUUGUGCACGGAUUGCAAUCGUGAAUUCAAUAACAACAAGUGCUAUGAUCUACAUAAGAAAGCACGCAAAAACGGUCGGCCAUACUGUACGGAAUUGUUCAUUUGCCCAGAUUGUGGAGUUUUUGUAAGUCUACUCAAUCGGAAAUUCAAGAAGCACGAAUGUGGUGAGAUGUUUUGCCAUCCAUGCCAGGAGUGGGUAGAUCAAGCCACGCACAAGUGCUAUCUUAAACCGUUGGAGCCUCGUACCCAUGGAUCGAGUUCAAAUUACAUCUUUUUCGAUUAUGAAACUCACUUGGACGCGGAGGGGGUCCAUCGGCCUUGUUACGUCGUGGCACAAUACACAAGUGGAGAAGAGUUUCGCUUCCCUCCAGAUAAUGUGCCAAUGGAAGGUUACGACGUUCAGAAAGAGUUUGACCAAUGGGUUUAUUCAGAGCAACAUCGUGGAUACACCUUGAUUGCGCACAACUUUCGCGGUUACGACGGACACUUUUUACUUUUUUACCUUUUGGAAAACAACCUCAAAGGAGUUGAAGUCAUACGACGCGGGAGUCAGCUUCUUGAUCUCCGUUACCCGGCUUUGAAAAUCAGGGCGCGCGACACUCUUAACUUUGUCAUGACGAAAUUAUCCAAUUUUCCGAAGGCUGUUGGUCUGACCGAUUGCGAAUCCAAAGGCGAUUUUCCUCAUCGCUUUAACAAGCCGGGAAACUGGGACAAAGUGCUUCCGUUUCCCGCUGUCGAUGAUUACAUGGUAGGCGGCUUGAAGCGAGCGGAUCGCAGAAAGUUUGAACAGUGGCAUGCAGAAGAGAAGGAAAAGAAAGGUAGGUUUUUUUUUUUAAUAUCUCAUGUUUUAAAGGGGUUUUCGAUUUUCGACUGGAAAUGUCCGACUACUGUGCAAGGGACGUUACUUUACUGCGGAAAUGUGCUCUCCAGUUCCGUGAAAAUUUCAUCAAGAUGACCAACGUCGACCCGUUUCAAAACGUUACCAUAGCUUCCGCCUGUCAAACGUAUUACAAGACCAAACUGCGGAAGGCUAAAGAAAUUGCCGUGAUAUCUGCAAACGGUUAUCAGCCGAAUCGAAAGACAAGCGCCGAAGCAACGCAGUGGCUUGAAUGGACCAGCAUGAGUCAUCCAAACAUCGAGCACGGUAGGAAUGGUAAAGAGCGGAAAAUCAAUCGCUACUUCGUAGAUGGAUUCGAUCCGGACACAGACAGUGUACGAGUAUAACGGCUGCGUACAUCAUGGGCACCCGGAAUGCACCAAUGAAGAUGACCGGGCACCGUUCUCUUUGAAGAAAAUGUCAGAAGUGUACGAGCAGUGGAUACGUAAGAAACUCUUUUUGGAAGGAAUGGGUUAUAAUGUGGAAGAGAAGUGGUCUUGCGAGUGGUUACGUGAAAGAAAGGAUCCGGAUAUACAGCAAUUCCUCCUAAACCAGAAUCUACGUGAUCCAUUGCAACCGCGCGAUGCAUUCAAAGGUGGCCGUACCAACGCUUCGUGUUUGUUCAGAGAAGUCCAAGAUGAUGAGCAGAUUUUGCAUUACGACAUCGUGUCCUUGUACCCGUUCGUCAACAAGAAAGCUGAGUAUCCAAUUGGACAUCCGAAGAUCAUCGUGUCCAACUUCAAACCUGUGACGGAAUAUUUUGGCUUGGUCAAAUGCAAAGUUCUUCCACCUGCAAGAAUUCGAUAUCCUGUGUUGCCUGCCACCUUCAACGGUAAGCUUGUGUUCACUUUGUGCCGGACUUGUGCUGAAAACGGAAUAAACGACUACUGUUCGCAUUCCGAUGAGGAAAGAAGUUUUGAAGGAGUAUUUUGCACUUCGGAAUUGCACAUGGCGCUGCGACAGGGUUAUCAAGUGCAGGAAAUUUACGAAGUUUGGCAUUGGAACGAAAAGCGUGCGGGUCUAUUUCAAGAAUAUGUGGACAAAUUCUUGAAGGAGAAGUUGGAAGCAAGUGGAUUCCCCGCCGGCUGUACAACGCAACGUCAAAAAGAGUUGUAUGUUCAAGAAGUUGCCUUGCGCGAUGGAAUUCUGCUAGACAUUGAUCGCAUUGAAGAUAAUCCCGCAAGACGUGCAGUUGCCAAGUUGAUGUUAAAUUCAUUUUGGGGCAAGUUUGGCCAAAGAGACAACUUACAGCAGACGGUGUUCAUCUACUCCGUGAAGCAGUAUCUGGAUUUAGUCAGAUCCAAAUCUGUUGAUAUACAGAGCGCUCACGCCGUGACUCCAGAGUGCAUGAUGGUUACUUACUCGCAGAAAGAUGACUACAACGAAGGCAGUAACUGUGCGAAUCUUGCCAUUGCCGCUUUCACUGCCAGCCAUGCCCGCAUUCAGCUUUUCAGAACCAUGGCCAAGCUUGGACCGCGCCUUUUGUAUUUUGACACAGACUCUGUCAUCUUUGUUCACAAAGAAGGCAAAUGGCUUCCAGAAGUCGGUAAUGGACUUGGUCAAUGGAGCAGCGAGUUGAAACCAGAUGAAUAUAUUGUACGCUUUGUCUCCUGUGGUCCCAAAGUCUACAGUUAUGAAACAAACACCGGCCGGAUUCAGCUGAAAGUUAAAGGCAUGACUCAGAACGGGUACACGGAAGAUGUCUUGAACGAUGAUCUGCAGCGCACUGGAGAGAACCUUGACUUUGACAAGUUGACCGAAAUCCUGAAAGGCGCUACAAUGCCGGUACGUAUCAGUUAUGUUAUUAAAUUUCUUUUAGUUUCUUAUUGAUUCCAGUGGUUUAACACAGGUUGUGUACCCUGAGUACAUUAAGCGGAACUUUAAAGCUCAAGAGAUUUCCACUGUCCGCUUGAAGAAGCAUCUGCGCAUGGUGUACGACAAACGGGUUUUGUUGGAAGAUUUCACCACAGUUCCGUACGGUUUCAAGAAGCCGGACCCGCAGCCGGCGUGAUGGAUUUGUAUCUGGAGGAUGCCACAACCAUGUGGUACGAGAACAAGCGUGACUCGUACAUGGGAUUCCAUAAGAAGUCCAAAGCCAUUACCUUCUGCAAGACGUUUUCGACCGAAGGAGACCAGCGCUUUGUGUAUACUGCCAUGGAAUUAUCUGCACCGAUCGUCUCGCGUAUACUGGAAUGCAUUUCUGACGACACUGUUCAAGAGUUACUGGACUCUUCUGUUUUGAAACGUAAGCCGAUGGAUCUUUUCUUGCAUGGUGACGGGACUGAUAACUUGAACAUAACAUUCAAAACUGGGAGAUUCUUCUGUAUUUACUUCUCCCAAACCAAGA
This is an RNA transcript of Paramacrobiotus metropolitanus, 5073 nucleotides long. RefSeq lists it as uncharacterized. The transcript is spliced from 3 exons. NCBI's taxonomy places the organism in Eukaryota, Metazoa, Tardigrada, Eutardigrada, Parachela, Macrobiotidae. The record is from RefSeq and is a predicted model, not a curated record.